CUCUGCCAUCCUCUCCACUCCAGCUACACGGGCCCCCCGUCCUCUGCCAUCUUCUCCAGUCCAACCACAAUGGCCUCCUGUCCUUCACCAUCCUCCCAGCUCCAGCCACACUGGCCUCCCAUCCUCUGCCAUCCUCUCCACCACAGCCACACCAGCCUCCUGGCCUCUGCCAUCCUUUCCACUCCAGCCACACUGGCUUCCCUGCUGAACUAAAGGCUCCCACCACAGGGUCUUCACACUUCCUAUGGCCUCCAUGUGAAGCCUCCCUCACUUCUUCAGGUCUUUCUUCAAAAACAUUUUCAUGGAUGAGCUCAUCAUAUCCAUGGCUACCCUUGCCAUUGCCAUGCCAAUGAGGGGGACAGCCCGGCCACCCACAAGGAUCCAGGACAAUGAUGCUUACCUCAGCCACCCAGUUCCUCUGGAAUCCAUCCUUCCUUUUAGCCCCAUAGCCACUGCUCCCCUUCUUGCUGCCUCAGCCCUCAGCAGUGGCCCCAACGUGCAGGUCUCCCACCUGUAGCUGCU
Molecule: long non-coding RNA, 522 nt
Filed under: Macaca mulatta (Rhesus monkey)
Lineage: Eukaryota; Metazoa; Chordata; Mammalia; Primates; Cercopithecidae
Description: lncRNA (ENSMMUG00000062020.1)
Source: RNAcentral